UGGGGAAUAUUGGACAAUGGGGGGAACCCUGAUCCAGCCAUGCCGCGUGUGUGAAGAAGGCCUUAUGGUUGUAAAGCACUUUAAGCGAGGAGGAGGGUACUGGUAUUAAUACUACCAGCUACUGGACGUUACUCGCAGAAUAAGCACCGGCUAACUCUGUGCCAGCAGCCGCGGUAAUACAGAGGGUGCGAGCGUUAAUCGGAUUUACUGGGCGUAAAGCGUGCGUAGGCGGCUAAUUGAGUCGGAUGUGAAAUCCCCGGGCUUAACGUGGGAAUUGCAUUCGAUACUGGUUAGCUAGAGUGUGGGAGAGGAUGGUAGAAUUCCAGGUGUAGCGGUGAAAUGCGUAGAGAUCUGGAGGAAUACCGAUGGCGAAGGCAGCCAUCUGGCCUAACACUGACGCUGAGGUACGAAAGCAUGGGGAGCAAACAGG
This 430-nucleotide ribosomal RNA is filed under the name Pseudomonadota bacterium. RNAcentral describes it as "Proteobacteria bacterium partial 16S ribosomal RNA". It matches the Rfam family "Bacterial small subunit ribosomal RNA", at positions 355 to 776 of the family's 1533-position model. The record is from RNAcentral. Lineage: Bacteria; Pseudomonadati; Pseudomonadota.